Non-coding RNA from Caenorhabditis elegans, 81 nucleotides. The record is from Ensembl. Lineage: Eukaryota; Metazoa; Nematoda; Chromadorea; Rhabditida; Rhabditidae.
GAUAUCAAAAAGCUGUCAACUACAAAACAUAGAUGGGAUUGUUACCAUCACUUUUGCAGUUGAAAGUUUUUUGAUACCUCU